Molecule: regulatory RNA element, 120 nt
Organism: Photorhabdus luminescens
Lineage: Bacteria; Pseudomonadati; Pseudomonadota; Gammaproteobacteria; Enterobacterales; Morganellaceae
Rfam family: Ribosomal S15 leader
About the family: The E. coli Ribosomal S15 gene 5' UTR can form two alternative structures. One that is a series of three hairpins, The other includes a pseudoknot.
Source: Rfam
UUGGGUGGCUGAAUUAGAGAUCGGCACCUGUAAUUUUAUUUUAUAUGUUUUUGGAGUUGUAAUAUGUCUCUAAGUACUGAAGCAAAAGCGCAAAUUAUUGCUGAAUUUGGUCGUGAUGUG